Molecule: transfer RNA, 70 nt
Filed under: Dipsosaurus dorsalis
Lineage: Eukaryota; Metazoa; Chordata; Lepidosauria; Squamata; Iguanidae
Description: tRNA-His
Rfam family: tRNA
About the family: Transfer RNA (tRNA) molecules are approximately 80 nucleotides in length. Their secondary structure includes four short double-helical elements and three loops (D, anti-codon, and T loops).
Source: RNAcentral
UGUUAGUAUAGUUUAAUAAAAACAUUAGGAUGUGGCCCUAAAAAUAGAAGUUCAACCCUUCUUGCAAACC